Non-coding RNA from Merluccius polli (Benguela hake), 75 nucleotides. The record is from the annotation of a GenBank genome assembly. NCBI's taxonomy places the organism in Eukaryota, Metazoa, Chordata, Actinopteri, Gadiformes, Merlucciidae.
GCAUUGGUGUGGUUCAGUGGUAGAAUUCUCCGCCUGCCACGCUGGGAGGCCGGGUUCGAUUUCCCGGCCAAUGCA